Molecule: ribosomal RNA, 279 nt
Filed under: uncultured bacterium
Lineage: Bacteria
Description: partial 16S ribosomal RNA
Rfam family: Bacterial small subunit ribosomal RNA
Source: RNAcentral
UGCCAGCAGCCGCGGUAAUACGGAGGGGGCAAGCGUUGUUCGGAAUUAUUGGGCGUAAAGGGCGCGUAGGCGGCCUGGUAAGUCAGUUGUGAAAGCCCUCGGCUCAACCGAGGAAUUGCGACUGAAACUGCCGGGCUUGAGUUCUGGAGAGGGUAGUGGAAUUCCCAGUGUAGCGGUGAAAUGCGUAGAUACUGGGAGGAACAUCGGUGGCGAAGGCGACUACCUGGACAGAUACUGACGCUGAGGCGCGAAAGCGUGGGGAGCAAACAGGAUUAGAUA